GCCCAGCAUCUCCUCCUAGCAUGAUCACGACAAGUCCUCUCCAAAUCCUGAAGGAAACUGCGUGCCCAAUAACCAACAUCAUGACUACUAACAUAUUUGUAAUGCUUGUCAUGUCGAAGUUGUUUUUCUGGCUCAGCCAUCUCCAGGGCACAGUCCAUUGCAUCAGCCACUGCAUCAAUAUUCCAGGGGUUCACUCGAAUUGCUCCACUCAAAGAUGGGGAACAACCAAUAAACUCAGAAAUAACCAGCAUACUCUUCUUCAGAGUACAUGGUUCAAGCCUCAACACCUUAUCCAAAAGCUCAUUCCCUUGGCGACUGAUAAUGUAUUCAUAAGGUAUGAGAUUCAUUCCAUCCCUUACAGCAGUGACCAAACAGCACUCAGCAACAACAUAAUAUGCCACUUUUUCAUAAAACUUCAGUGGUGCAUCAAUUAAGACUACAGGAUCAUAUCCAGGCCUCCCAAAUGUUUCAUUGAUCCGCUUCACAGUGGAGUAAGUCUCAGCCUGGACUUCUUUCACAUCUUUUCCUCUGCCCCUUGCAGGAUUUGCUAUCUGCACCAACACCACCUUGCCUCGCCACUCUGGGUGCUGCUCGAGCAACUGUUCCAUUGCCAACAACUUCAAACUUAUACCUUUGAAUAUGUCCAUGUCAUCAACCCCUAGCAACAUUAUCCGGCCCUGAUCACCGAACUGCUUAAUGAGCUCCGCUACCUUUGUUUCAGUCUCUGGAAGCCUCAACACUGACUGAAGCUGACCCAUAUGAAUACCAACAGGAAGAAUUUUGAUGCCUACAGUCCUACCACAAUAGUCAAGGCCUAUGUACCCUCUCCUGGAUUCAUAGGUAAGACCAAGCAUUCUACUACAGCAAGACAAGAAAUGCCUUGCAUAAUCAAAAGUAUGAAAUCCAAG
RNAcentral lists this unclassified non-coding RNA (908 nucleotides) under Hevea brasiliensis (rubber tree). The record is from RNAcentral. Lineage: Eukaryota; Viridiplantae; Streptophyta; Magnoliopsida; Malpighiales; Euphorbiaceae.